GUUUUAUGCUCAGCACAGAAGUAGUAAAAAAAAUGUUAUGGUAAAAUUUGUAUGGAAUCUAGUAAAGAAAAACUUACCAAAUGUGGCACAGCCGAAAGUAGUCC
Ipomoea nil (Japanese morning glory) is the source of this 104-nucleotide long non-coding RNA. RefSeq lists it as uncharacterized. Lineage: Eukaryota; Viridiplantae; Streptophyta; Magnoliopsida; Solanales; Convolvulaceae. The record is from RefSeq and is a predicted model, not a curated record. The transcript has 3 exons.